GAAAACAAAAGAAACGAUUAAAAAAUAAAUAGGCAAACUUACUGUCAGAUGAUGGUAUCAAUGGCAUCUGUGGGUUCAAAAAAUCUAAAUCUGAUUUACACUCCUGUCCUAAAAAUAACCUUUUUAUACGUGUCCUUGUUUCUAGGAACUGGAAAUGAAAACCAAAUUUUUAUGUGAGGUGCACAAUGCCAAAGCUUGGCAAUGUGUGCACAGUUACGUGAAUAAAGCAGACACUUGUAUGAGACACCUCGCUUGGAAUGUCAAAAGCUAAAGCUGUGCCUCCUCACCUAAACGCAUGACCAUGAGCUUUUGACUGCCCUGGUUGAUUAAUAGCCAAAUUGAAAUGGACUAAUUGGUAGCCUUACUAUA
RNAcentral lists this unclassified non-coding RNA (369 nucleotides) under Hevea brasiliensis (rubber tree). Lineage: Eukaryota; Viridiplantae; Streptophyta; Magnoliopsida; Malpighiales; Euphorbiaceae. The record is from RNAcentral.